RNAcentral lists this ribosomal RNA (866 nucleotides) under uncultured bacterium. Its description in RNAcentral is "bacterial SSU rRNA". It matches the Rfam family "Bacterial small subunit ribosomal RNA", at positions 28 to 896 of the family's 1533-position model. The record is from RNAcentral.
GACGAACGCUGGCGGCGUGCCUAAUACAUGCAAGUCGUGCGGACUUAUCUUCGGAUAAGUUAGCGGCGGACGGGUGAGUAACACGUGGGCAACCUGCCUGUAAGACUGGGAUAACUCCGGGAAACCGGUGCUAAUACCAGAUACAAUCAAAGACCGCUUGGUCUUUGAUGGAAAGGUCUUGUACCGCUUACAGAUGGGCCCGCGGCGCAUUAGCUAGUUGGUGGGGUAAUGGCCUACCAAGGCGACGAUGCGUAGCCGACCUGAGAGGGUGAUCGGCCACACUGGGACUGAGACACGGCCCAGACUCCUACGGGAGGCAGCAGUAGGGAAUCUUCCGCAAUGGACGAAAGUCUGACGGAGCAACGCCGCGUGAGUGAUGAAGGCUUUCGGGUCGUAAAACUCUGUUGUCAGGGAAGAACAUCCGGGAUAACCUCCCGGUCUGACGGUACCUGAUCAGAAAGCCCCGGCUAACUACGUGCCAGCAGCCGCGGUAAUACGUAGGGGGCAAGCGUUGUCCGGAAUUAUUGGGCGUAAAGCGCGCGCAGGCGGUUUCUUAAGUCUGGUGUGAAAGCCCGCAGCUCAACUGCGGAGGGCCACUGGAAACUGGGAAGCUUGAGUGUAGGAGAGGAGAGCGGAAUUCCACGUGUAGCGGUGAAAUGCGUAGAUAUGUGGAGGAACACCCGUGGCGAAAGCGGCUCUCUGGCCUAUAACUGACGCUGAGGCGCGAAAGCGUGGGGAGCGAACAGGAUUAGAUACCCUGGUAGUCCACGCCGUAAACGAUGAGUGCUAGGUGUUGGGGACUCCAAUCCUCAGUGCCGCAGCUAACGCAAUAAGCACUCCGCCUGGGGAGUACGGCCGCAAGGCUG